This 66-nucleotide transfer RNA is filed under the name Ephemera sp. XL-2019. RNAcentral's name for it is "tRNA-Phe". It matches the Rfam family "tRNA". Rfam says of the family: Transfer RNA (tRNA) molecules are approximately 80 nucleotides in length. Their secondary structure includes four short double-helical elements and three loops (D, anti-codon, and T loops). The record is from RNAcentral. Lineage: Eukaryota; Metazoa; Arthropoda; Insecta; Ephemeroptera; Ephemeridae.
GUUUAGAUAGCUUAUGAUUAGAGCGUAGCACUGAAGAUGCUGAGGAGAUAUAUUUAUCUUUAAACA